RNAcentral lists this ribosomal RNA (274 nucleotides) under uncultured bacterium. Its description in RNAcentral is "partial 16S ribosomal RNA". It matches the Rfam family "Bacterial small subunit ribosomal RNA", at positions 523 to 796 of the family's 1533-position model. The record is from RNAcentral.
AUACGGAGGGUGCAAGCGUUAAUCGGAAUUACUGGGCGUAAAGAGUACGUAGGUGGUUUAUUAAGUCAGAUGUGAAAGCCCCGGGCUCAACCUGGGAACUGCAUUUGAAACUAGUAAGCUAGAGUAUGGUAGAGGGGGGUAGAAUUUCUAGUGUAGCGGUGAAAUGCGUAGAUAUUAGAAGGAAUACCAGUGGCGAAGGCGGCCCCCUGGACCAAUACUGACACUGAGGUACGAAAGCGUGGGGAGCAAACAGGAUUAGAAACCCUAGUAGUCC